This 292-nucleotide ribosomal RNA is filed under the name uncultured Acidobacteriota bacterium. RNAcentral describes it as "uncultured Acidobacteria bacterium partial 16S ribosomal RNA". The record is from RNAcentral. Lineage: Bacteria; Pseudomonadati; Acidobacteriota.
GGACUACUAGGGUUUCUAAUCCUGUUUGCUACCCACGCUUUCGUGUCUCAGCGUCAGUUACGGUCCAGAAAGCCGUCUACACCACCGGUGUUCCUCCUGAUAUCUACGCAUUUCACCGCUACACCAGGAAUUCCACUUUCCUCUCCCGCACUCGAGUCACUCAGUAUUCGGCGCACCCUCCCAGUUGAGCCAGGAGAUUUCACACCAAACUUAAGCGACCGCCUACACACCCUUUACGCCCAGUAACUCCGAACAACGCUUGCUGCCUACGUAUUACCGCGGCGGCUGGCAC